Molecule: ribosomal RNA, 466 nt
Filed under: uncultured bacterium
Lineage: Bacteria
Description: partial 16S ribosomal RNA
Rfam family: Bacterial small subunit ribosomal RNA
Source: RNAcentral
GAGGAAAGCUGGCGGCGUGCUUAACACAUGCGAGUCGAACGGAAAGGCCCUGCUUGCAGGGUACUCGAGUGGCGAACGGGUGAGUAACACGUGGGUGAUCUGCCCUGCACUUCGGGAUAAGCUUGGGAAACUGGGUCUAAUACCGGAUAGGAGCCAUCUUUAGUGUGGUGGUUGGAAAGUUUUUUCGGUGUAGGAUGAGCUCGCGGCCUAUCAGCUUGUUGGUGGGGUAAUGGCCUACCAAGGCGGCGACGGGUAGCCGGCCUGAGAGGGUGUACGGCCACAUUGGGACUGAGAUACGGCCCAGACUCCUACGGGAGGCAGCAGUGGGGAAUAUUGCACAAUGGGCGCAAGCCUGAUGCAGCGACGCCGCGUGGGGGAUGAAGGCCUUCGGGUUGUAAACUCCUUUCGCUGGGGACGAAGCUUUUUUGUGACGGUACCUAGAUAAGAAGCACCGGCUAACUACGUG